Molecule: long non-coding RNA, 3495 nt
Filed under: Betta splendens (Siamese fighting fish)
Lineage: Eukaryota; Metazoa; Chordata; Actinopteri; Anabantiformes; Osphronemidae
Description: lncRNA (ENSBSLG00000015680.1)
Source: RNAcentral
GUUUUUUUCCACAGCCUGAAAAGCUCAAAAACAAUGUUUUAGUGUUUCUGUAUUGGUUUCUAUCAGAACAGCCUCUAAUUGUCAUGUUCUGAUGUCAGAAUACUGUAUAACAGCUCAAUAUAUCCUAAAUGUACAGUUGCAAUUGCCGUGGUUUAUACUGGUGUUUCUACAGCCUGGAAAGCUCAAAAGCGAUGUUUUAGUGUUUCUGUAUUGGUUUCCAUCACACCAGCCUCUAAUGGUCAUGUUCUGAUGCCAGAAUACUGUAUAACAGCUCAAUACAACCUAAAUGUACAGUUGCAAUUGCCGUGGUUUAAACUAGUGUUUCUACAGCCUGGAAAGCUCAAAAACGAUGUUUUAGUGCUUCUCAAUUCGUUUCCAUCAGAGCAGCCUCUAAUGGUCAUGUUCUGAUGCCAGAAUACUGUAAAACAGCUCAAUACAUCCUAAGAGCAGAGUUGCAAUUGCCGUGGUUUAAACUAGUGUUUCUACAGCCUGAAAAGCUCAAAAACGAUGUUUUAGUGUUUUCUGCAUUGGUUUCCAUAAGAGCAGCCUCUAAUGGUCAUGUUCUGAUGCCAGAAUACUGUAAAACAGCUCAAUACAUCCUAAAUGUACAGUUGCAAUUGCCGUGGUUUAAACUAGUGUUUCUACAGCCUGAAAAGCUCAAAAAACGAUGUUUUUGUGUUUCUGUAUUGGUUUCCAUCAGAGCAGCCUCUAAUGGUCAUGUUCUGAUGCCAGAAUACUGUAUAACAGCUCAAUACAGUCUAAAUGUACCAUUGCAAUUGCCGUGGUUUAAACUGGUGUUUCUACAGCCUGGAAAGCUCAAAAACGAUGUUUUAGUGUUUCUCAAUUCGUUUCCAUCAGAGCAGCCUCAUGGUCAUGUUCUGAUGCCAGAAUACUGUAUAACAGCUCAAUACAUCCUAAAUGUACAGUUGCAAUUGCCGUGGUUUAAACUAGUGUUUCUACAGCCUGAAAAGCUCAAAAACGAUGUUUUAGUGUUUCUGUAUUGGUUUCUAUCAGAGCAGCCUCUAAUGGUCAUGUUCUGAUGUGAGGAUACUGUAAAACAGCUCAAUACAUCCUAAAAGCAGAGUUGCAAUUGCUGUGGUUUAAACUAGUGUUUCUACAGCCUGGAAAGCUCAAAAACGAUGUUUUAGUGUUUCUCAAUUUGUUUCCAUCAGAGCAGCCUCUAAUGGUCAUGUCAGAAUGCUGUAAAACAGCUCAAUACAUCCUAAAAUUGGAGUUGCACUUGCCGUGGUUUAAACUAGUUUUUCUACAGCCUGAAAAGCUCAAAAACGAUGUUUUAGAGUUUCUGCAUUGGUUUCCAUCAGAGCAGCCUCUAAUGGCCAUGUUCUGAUGCCAGAAUACUGUAAAACAGCUCAAUACAUUCUAAAUGUACAGUUGCAAUUGCCGUAGUUUAAACUAGUUUUUCUACAGCCUGAAAAGCUCAAAAACGAUGUUUUAGUGUUUCUGUAUUGGUUUCCAUCAGAGCAGCCUCUAAUGGUCAUGUUCUGAUGCCAGAAUACUGUAUAACAGCUCAAUACAUCCUAAAAGCAGAGUUGCAAUUGCCGUGGUUUAAACUAGUGUUUUCUACAGCCUGAAAAGCUCAAAAACGAUGUUUUAGUGUUUCUGUAUUGGUUUCUAUCAGAGCAGCCUCUAAUUGUCAUGUUCUGAUGUCAGAAUACUGUAUAACAGCUCAAUACAUCCUAAAUGUACAGUUGCAAUUGCCGUGGUUUAAACUGGUGUUUCUACAGCCUGGAAAGCUCAAAAACGAUGUUUUAGUGUUUCUGUAUUGGUUUCCAUCACACCAGCCUCUAAUGGUCAUGUUCUGAUGCCAGAAUACUGUAUAACAGCUCAAUACAUCCUAAGAGCAGAGUUGCAAUUGCCGUGGUUUAAACUAGUGUUUCUACAGCCUGAAAAGCUCAAAAACGAUGUUUUAGUGUUUCUGUAUUGGUUUCCAUCACACCAGCCUCUAAUGGUCAUGUUCUGAUGCCAGAAUACUGUAUAACAGCUCAAUACAUCCUAAAUGUCCAGUUGCAACUGCCGUGGUUUAAACUAGUGUUUCUACAGCCUGGAAAGCUCAAAAACGAUGUUUUAGUUGUUGGGGGACCUCAUGUGUAUAAACGGUUAUUGACAGAAUCAGUAUCAAGGACCCACAUGCAUUCUCCUCAGACAAAGGGAAUUCUGCGGCCUGCAUGUAAACUCCUCAUCCUGAUAGUAGUGAGUGAGAACAAAGAGAUUUCAAAUCUCGGCGCCAAAACCAGGCGCCAGGCUGGGGAACCACACCUGGCUCCCCGCUGUGAAGGCCGAACCCCCGUGGAUACAAGCGACAGUCGGCGGAGAAACUUGGACAUCAGCCGGAAGAACUUGGACGUCAGCCACCCUGAUUGGACCAAACAAUAGGAUGGGCGUGACCAAAAACACGGUUAUAAAAGUCGCCGUGACCCUUGUUCCUCCCUUGUUCUCUUCGAUCUCCCGUUUCCCCUUCCUCUCUUCGACCCUCUCGCUGCCCCACCUGGAGCUUCCCUCGGCACCAGCACGCCUGAAGCCUCCACCGCAGCCAGCAGCUGAACCAACGGAGACGUCGUCACAGAGAACGGGCCUGAUCACCCAUCUACUUCCAGCCCACACUGCAGGAAACCGCCAGCUUAAACGCCUCACCGCCGCCGCAUCAGCUGAUCACGACGCGAUCACCGCGACGCACACCUGGACCGGACCGGACCGCAACAGCGCAAGCACGCACGCACGCACGCAACGCCGGAGCUUCUCACCAGGAUUGAGCAGUAAGGCAGAGGCAUUCUUAAGUCUGAGCAGAGUAGAACUCUUAGGGUAUCAGUAAUUGUUUUAUUGUUGUGUUGUUUCUUUUCCUGCACACACGAUCUGACCGCUGUGUAUUUCCGCGAUCACGUGACUGUAACGCUGUUACAGAUCUACGUGAAUCUAAGAGGUGCACAUUGAAGUGUUGUAACCUGUGAUUUCGCUAGCUUAAGUACUUUAUUGUGUUACUGUGUAGUGCUCUGUUUCUGCUGCGACCACGCCAAGCGCACGUUUCAACCACUGCACGCUUCCGCGAUCACGUGACUAUAUCGCAGAAUAUAGCCCCACGUGUUUGUGUGACCACAAGCCUUAUCCACGCUAGUCCCACUUCACACUCCUUUACACGCUUCUUUCCCUGUGAGCGCCAGACACGCGCGCUCCAUUCAAAGGGCUCACCGGCACACGCGCGCAGCUGUGCCACCUCACCACGCCCCUAAAGGGGGGCGCUCUCCUCCUCCUCCUCUUCUCUCUUUCUCUCUCUCUCUCUCACCCUCACACACACAUACACACACACACACACACACACACACACACACACACCCCUCUUAUCUCAGGUAACGCGCAUACACAUACAGAACGCUAGACGAACACACCAUAUAAUUAAGUUGUGAUUUGCUGAGUUAUUCAAGAUAGUGUUGACACUAGAGUUAAUAUUAACUGUUUAAUAAAGCGUUCAUAAUUUAAUCA